This 689-nucleotide long non-coding RNA is filed under the name Paramuricea clavata. The record is from RNAcentral. Lineage: Eukaryota; Metazoa; Cnidaria; Anthozoa; Malacalcyonacea; Plexauridae.
CCAAAGUGUACAUAAUUUAUCAAUAUAAUUAGGACUUAGAAGCUGUUCACAUGAGUUUGAUUCUGACCCAGCACCCUUGGCUAGCUCCCCUUGCCCGAUCACAAGCUAAGUAGAAAACCUCCAACCCCCUCUGACAAAUCAGUCCAGAUCUGCCCAAGAGGCAGGAUUUUCUGGAAUAUUAUUAGCAGUGAAAUUGUUGCAUAUUUUCAAGCAUGCAUUGUAACCUGAUUUUAAAGCCUGUUUGAACAUCAAACAUUGUGGCAAUGGCAUGAUGGUCCAGCCAUAUGAAUACAAUCUUAAAAUAUCAUAAAAACAAUGCAAUUUAAGGCCAGACAGCCCAACUCCUGCGAACAGCCCUUUAUUACACAUUCGAAGCAUCUAUUGAGGCAUCAAAGUACAUGCAGGCACAUGGAAUUACAUACGACUAUGUGACAUAAGCCCACCAUUGCACAACUUUGUCUGCAACAAUGCAAAUACAAUCAAGCUGGAAACGGAUUUUAUCAGUAUUUUGAUAUAUACAUUAUGGGUCAUGUCUAAAGACAUCUGCACUUUCAUAUUGAAAUUGUUCUGAUAUCAUCCUAACAAAACACAUCAGAAAACUGUAACAUCAGCCAAAUGAGAAAAUCACUUUUUUAACACAAUUUAUGGUAAAAUGAAGCAACAUGUAAUAGUAUCUGAAACAAAACCAA